UGAACGCUGGCGGCGUGCCUACUACAUGCAAGUCGAGCGAACAGACGAGGAGCUUGCUCCUCUGACGUUAGCGGCGGACGGGUGAGUAACACGUGGAUAACCUACCUAUAAGACUGGGAUAACUUCGGGAAACCGGAGCUAAUACCGGAUAAUAUAUUGAACCGCAUGGUUCAAUAGUGAAAGACGGUUUUGUUGUCACUUAUAGAUGGAUCCGCGCCGCAUUAGCUAGUUGGUAAGGUAACGGCUUACCAAGGGAACGAUGCGUAGGCGACCGGAGAGGGUGAUCGCCCACACUGGAACUGCGCCGCGGUCCAGACUCCUACGGGAGGCAGCAGUAGGGAAUCUUCCGCAAUAGGCGAAAACUUGACAGAACAACGCCGCGUGAGUGAUGAAGGUCUUCGGAUCGUAAACCCCUGUUAUUAGGGAAGAACAAAUGUGUAAGUAACUAUGCACGUCUUGACGGUACCUAAUCAGAAAGCCACGGCUAACUACGUG
This 495-nucleotide ribosomal RNA is filed under the name uncultured bacterium. RNAcentral's name for it is "partial 16S ribosomal RNA". It matches the Rfam family "Bacterial small subunit ribosomal RNA", at positions 30 to 507 of the family's 1533-position model. The record is from RNAcentral.